RNAcentral lists this transfer RNA (71 nucleotides) under Loxodonta africana (African savanna elephant). It matches the Rfam family "tRNA". Rfam says of the family: Transfer RNA (tRNA) molecules are approximately 80 nucleotides in length. Their secondary structure includes four short double-helical elements and three loops (D, anti-codon, and T loops). Further hydrogen bonds mediate the characteristic L-shaped molecular structure. tRNAs have two regions of fundamental functional importance: the anti-codon, which is responsible for specific mRNA codon recognition, and the 3' end, to which the tRNAs corresponding amino acid is attached (by aminoacyl-tRNA synthetases). tRNAs cope with the degeneracy of the genetic code in two manners: having more than one tRNA (with a specific anti-codon) for a particular amino acid; and 'wobble' base-pairing, i.e. permitting non-standard base-pairing at the 3rd anti-codon position. Lineage: Eukaryota; Metazoa; Chordata; Mammalia; Proboscidea; Elephantidae. The record is from Rfam by way of RNAcentral.
GAAUUUGUAUUUCAGUGGUAGAACUCUCACCUUCCAUGUGGGAGACCUGGGUUCGAUUCCUAGCCAAUGUA